AAAUCGGCGAUUUUCCGAUGCGGACGAUACUUCGAAACGUACUUAUCAAGUUCCUGCAAAUUCCUUUGGCUUCGAACAGCCAAAACAUUGUCUCUCUGAGUCUCCAUAAAUCGGCCUAAAUCGCCGAUUUCACGUGAAUCUAAAUGCUUUGAGGAAUACUUGAAUCCGUUAAAAGCUGCCAAAUCUGAAACAAAAAGAUAAGAAUAAACCAUGAAGAUUACACUUGAA
Molecule: long non-coding RNA, 228 nt
Organism: Hibiscus syriacus
Lineage: Eukaryota; Viridiplantae; Streptophyta; Magnoliopsida; Malvales; Malvaceae
Exons: 3
Source: RefSeq, a predicted model, not a curated record